CAUGUGGAUGUCCAUUUCUUCUAGCAUCAUUUGUCGAAAAGAUUAUCCUUUCCCCAUUUUAUUCUUCUUCCUCUUUUGUCAAAGAGCAGUUGACUCUAUUUUGUGGCAUAAUAUUUUAUAAAAUGGAUAUAGGAUGAUUUCCUUAGCAGUUCCCUCAUUGAAGGGUAACUAGGCUAUUUUCAGUUGUAUUCCAUUUCUCCUGGUUUCCCACCCUAUCUCUCUAGCUUCAUGUGCCCCUGUCUUAUAAAUUUUAUAAUUCCUCAGGGCUUUCCAUAGCCCAUCUCUCUUCUUUUCUUUCCAUUAGUGACCUCUCAUCUAAUUCCAUGACUUUAAGAAAUACCUAUACAUAUGAUAACUCCUUGAAAAUUUACGUCUAUCUAAACCUCUUCUGUCAGCUUCAGUUUUAUAUAGUCAUCUCUCUUAUUGAUUAUUUGUUUUGGCUAUAUGAGUUAUAUCGAACUUAACAUGUUUGAAGUUGUACUGCUGAAAGAUACUCUUCCCUCAGCCUUCCUCAGAUCAGCAAAUGGUCCCACCACCCAUUCAAAGCCCCAUGUAGAAACUUGGUAAUCAAUUUGAUUGUGCUGUUUCCAAAAUUUCCUUUAUGUUUCCCAAUAUAAUGCAUUAAUAGAUUAUAGCUGCAUGAUAUAUUUCAUAUUUGCCCCAUCUUUCUAUUACCACUGCCACCAUCCAAGUUGAUGCCACUAUCAACUCUUGAUUAGACCAUUGCAAUGUACUCCUCAUUGAUCUUUUUACUUUUUGUCUUAAUCUCUUCACAUACAUUUUAUAUAUCUGCCAGAGAAACCUUUUGAAAACAUCAAUUCAUUGCCCUCUUUAAACCCUUCAGGGAUUUUACUUAGAAUAAAAUGCAGAUUCUUUACCAUAGCCUCUGGAGCUUUGCAUGAUUUGGCCUCCUGUUAAAUUCCCAACAUUCCCACCAUUGUGCAUAUGGUGCACUGCAUAACCCCAAGGGGAAGUCAUCACAUUGUAAUUUAUGUGAAUAGUGUUCCCUGGAGAUGUUCAAUGAAC
Molecule: long non-coding RNA, 1026 nt
Filed under: Homo sapiens (human)
Lineage: Eukaryota; Metazoa; Chordata; Mammalia; Primates; Hominidae
Description: HSALNT0334866
Source: RNAcentral